UAGGGAAUCUUCCGCAAUGGACGCAAGUCUGACGGAGCAACGCCGCGUGAGUGAAGUAGGAUUUCGGUUCGUAAAACUCUGUUGUUAGAGAAGAACAGCGCAUAGAGUAACUGUUAUGCGUGUGACGGUAUCUAACCAGAAAGCCACGGCUAACUACGUGCCAGCAGCCGCGGUAAUACGUAGGUGGCAAGCGUUGUCCGGAUUUAUUGGGCGUAAAGCGAGCGCAGGCGGUCAAUUAAGUCUGAUGUGAAAGCCCCCGGCUCAACCGGGGAGGGUCAUUGGAAACUGGUUGACUUGAGUGCAGAAGAGGAGAGUGGAAUUCCAUGUGUAGCGGUGAAAUGCGUAGAUAUAUGGAGGAACACCAGUGGCGAAGGCGACUCUCUGGUCUGUAACUGACGCUGAGGCUAGAAAGCGUGGGUAGCAAACAGG
This 429-nucleotide ribosomal RNA is filed under the name Bacteroidota bacterium. RNAcentral's name for it is "Bacteroidetes bacterium partial 16S ribosomal RNA". It matches the Rfam family "Bacterial small subunit ribosomal RNA", at positions 355 to 776 of the family's 1533-position model. Lineage: Bacteria; Pseudomonadati; Bacteroidota. The record is from RNAcentral.